AUUGAACGCUGGCGGCAGGCCUAACACAUGCAAGUCGAGCGGUUGAGGGAAGCUUGCUUCCUGAUUCAGCGGCGGACGGGUGAGUAAUGCCUAGGAAUCUGCCUGGUAGUGGGGGACAACGUUUCGAAAGGAACGCUAAUACCGCAUACGUCCUACGGGAGAAAGCAGGGGACCUUCGGGCCUUGCGCUAUCAGAUGAGCCUAGGUCGGAUUAGCUAGUUGGUGAGGUAAUGGCUCACCAAGGCGACGAUCCGUAACUGGUCUGAGAGGAUGAUCAGUCACACUGGAACUGAGACACGGACCAGACUCCUACGGGAGGCAGCAGUGGGGAAUAUUGGACAAUGGGCGAAAGCCUGAUCCAGCCAUGCCGCGUGUGUGAAGAAGGUCUUCGGAUUGUAAAGCACUUUAAGUUGGGAGGAAGGGCAGUCAGCGAAUACCUUGCUGUCUUGACGUUACCGACAGAAUAAGCACCGGCUAACUCUGUG
RNAcentral lists this ribosomal RNA (484 nucleotides) under uncultured bacterium. Its description in RNAcentral is "partial 16S ribosomal RNA". It matches the Rfam family "Bacterial small subunit ribosomal RNA", at positions 30 to 507 of the family's 1533-position model. The record is from RNAcentral.